UACAGAGGGUGCGAGCGUUAAUCGGAAUUACUGGGCGUAAAGCGUGCGUAGACGGUCAUGUAAGUCGGAUGUGAAAGCCCCGGGCUCAACCUGGGAAUUGCAUUCGAGACUGCAUGGCUUGGGUGCGGAAGAGGGAAGCGGAAUUUCCGGUGUAGCGGUGAAAUGCGUAGAUAUCGGAAGGAACAUCAGUGGCGAAAGCGGCUUCCUGGUCCAGCACCGACGUUCAGGCACGAAAGCGUGGGGAGCAAACAGG
Molecule: ribosomal RNA, 253 nt
Filed under: uncultured bacterium
Lineage: Bacteria
Description: partial 16S ribosomal RNA
Rfam family: Bacterial small subunit ribosomal RNA
Source: RNAcentral